Small nuclear RNA from Ochotona princeps (American pika), 102 nucleotides. The record is from Ensembl. Lineage: Eukaryota; Metazoa; Chordata; Mammalia; Lagomorpha; Ochotonidae.
GUGCUCGCUUCGGCAGCACAUAUACUAAAAUUGGAACGAUACAGAGAAGAUUAGCGUGGCCCCUGUGCAAGGAUGACAGAAACAGAGCAGAGGCCUGUGCCU